This is a small nuclear RNA of Talpa occidentalis (Iberian mole), 105 nucleotides long. NCBI's taxonomy places the organism in Eukaryota, Metazoa, Chordata, Mammalia, Eulipotyphla, Talpidae. The record is from RefSeq and is a predicted model, not a curated record.
GUGUUCACUUGGUAGCACUUAUAAUAAAAUUGAAAAUACACAGAAAAGGUUCACAUGGCCCCCGCAAGGAAUGGUAUGAAAAUUUGUAAAGCAUUUUGUAGUUUU